Long non-coding RNA from Rhincodon typus (whale shark), 866 nucleotides. RefSeq lists it as uncharacterized. Lineage: Eukaryota; Metazoa; Chordata; Chondrichthyes; Orectolobiformes; Rhincodontidae. The record is from RefSeq and is a predicted model, not a curated record. The transcript is spliced from 2 exons.
GUAUUUUCUUGCAUUCUUUCCCAUGGGCUGCCAUGCUCCCUUUAGCUUUAAGAGCAAACUUCAACAUCAUUUGUCUUGUGCCUCUGUUCAAGGCCUUUGUUCAAAUAGAAAAAUAGUUGUCUCAGCACAGAUUCCUGGAGUAUGACAUCAACACAUUGCUAAUCUGAGAAACACCCAUUUUCUUUGGUUCCGAGUCAACUGUCUGUCUACAGGGCUUCAAUCUCUUUAAAGUCAUUUGCCUUGACAUUUGUAACCAGCUUGUGGUAAAAUAUUCAGUGCUUGCUGAUAAUCCAAACACCUGCCCUUUUCCUUUAACCUAUGCACUCACAAGUGUUGGAGAAACAUUAUCAUUUUGGAUAAAUACCCAAUUUAUUUGUGAUAAAAACAUCCUCGGAAUGUUUUAUAAAUGGUUCACAUUAAAGUGCCAUUAUUUCUGUCAGUGCUUUCAUCUUUUGUGUUGUUUUUCAGGUCAAUUGCUCUCGUCAGUUCGAGAGGUGACUUGGGCUGGGCAUUAAAUUAUGUGUCUUCAGCUUUUCUGAGGCUCGGUGCUGCAAAACCAAUCAACUUUUUCAAAGAAGGAAGUUUUGCUAUGCUAGGAUUCAAGAGUUGGCUGAAACCAGCGUGGAUAAAAAUUCGAAGUCAAAGCGCUGGACAGCUGGCUGCCUCCGUGCAGCAUUAUGUUCCUUUGAAACUGAGUGAAUACGGCUGUUCUGGCAAACCAAAGGAGAACCGGAUAGAUUUAAAGUUGUUCCAUGACUUGAUGUCUUCAAACUAGACUACAAUUGCAAGGAGGAGAGAGAAUCUGUUAAAUUGUUGCCACUUUAACUUCUGUAUCAUUGCUAUAAAUAAAUAUAUUAUGUACAGGA